Long non-coding RNA from Oncorhynchus tshawytscha (Chinook salmon), 614 nucleotides. The record is from Ensembl. NCBI's taxonomy places the organism in Eukaryota, Metazoa, Chordata, Actinopteri, Salmoniformes, Salmonidae.
GAAAGAUGCAAGGAUGGAAAGUGUAAUUUAACAACUAGCUGCCUAUCGUAAUGCCGGCUUAUUAUUAUCAUGUUUGGUAACAUUUGCCGAUGUAUUUAUUUUCAGAGUUGCAAUGGGUUGUAAAAAUGUCUCAGAAAACUCUGCUGAAUUCCCUCAAUUGAAGGUCAGUCAGGACACAGAGGCCCAGCUGAAAACUAUUUUCCUGCAUUUUUGCAAGCCUAUACACAUGGAGAAUUUCGAAGAUAUUCUAAAACGGGUGGACAUCGAUUUUUCAGGAUACCCGUCAUUUACCCAGUUGCUACCGGGAAUAAUUGAUUUGGAUCAUCCAACAUUAGAUGAGAAAUCCAAGCGUACAGCCCCCCAGCAAGGAUACUUGAUGCAUUAUGGAUGAAAUAGACAGUAUUCUGCCAUUUUGUACAAACGUUUUUUCCAGAAUUCCAAACACUCCAAGAACCAUGGCUGUAACCGGUAGUUAUACACCCCCGGGAACCUCAAGCAAAUCGCUCCAUAAUCUAGCAUUUACGACGCAUCACAGUCCUUCACGACUCCGCACAACUGUGGUCCAAGUGCAUUGCGCAGAAUCACCCAGGCCCGAGAAGGGCUACUGGGCUGAA